Long non-coding RNA from Xenopus tropicalis (tropical clawed frog), 740 nucleotides. RefSeq lists it as uncharacterized. The transcript is spliced from 6 exons. Lineage: Eukaryota; Metazoa; Chordata; Amphibia; Anura; Pipidae. The record is from RefSeq and is a predicted model, not a curated record.
CAGUGUGAGAAUGCUUGGUGGGGCAGCCAUACCCGCAAGAGCACUGUCACUCACAGAGAUGGACUUGGAGUACUCCUGAGCGAGACGCCUGCUGCCCAUUUGGAGGCUGCAAAUCUCUGCCUGACUCUGCUCCCUACAGUGUGGAUGGUGAGUCGCGGUAUCCGGCAGGAGGACUGGUGUGACGUACUUAAGGCUUUUCAGCUCACAGGGAAAUUCAGUGAGACUUCCGGAAGCUUUCUCUGUUGGUUCCAAGUUCCGGCCUCUGCCUUGUAUUGUGAAAAAGAAGAAAUCAGUAGAAGGAGGGUCAGAUUGGAGGGGGUUCUCUGGCCUCUGCUGCAGCCACCGCCCCACAUUCAUCCUAACAACCUUGGGCAGAAAACCAGAAAAAUACAGUUACCAGAAAAGGUAAAAAGCAACUCAGACACAGGGGGAAGAUAGAAUCUCCUAGAGCUCCAUGAGGCGUGAGAACCUUGCUUCUGGGGCAGCAUUGCUGAGGCGGGGCAAUGACCAGACGUUGGACCUUCAUGGAGAGACUCGGUCAAAGGUUGAACCUUUUGAGAGGAGCUUGAACUGAUAAUUCUGACUUGCUGAAAAGCACUGCCCUAAGUCUUUCAGGCAUUUCUGGAGUUAAUGGACUGCGUAUUCCCCAUUUUCCAGCAACAAUUUGGCAUGUGUGGAGUUAAUGGAAUGCUUAUUGCCCUUUUUCCAAGGAUCGUACCGGCAUGUGUGGAGUUAAUGGA